RNAcentral lists this ribosomal RNA (491 nucleotides) under uncultured bacterium. RNAcentral's name for it is "partial 16S ribosomal RNA". It matches the Rfam family "Bacterial small subunit ribosomal RNA", at positions 29 to 506 of the family's 1533-position model. The record is from RNAcentral.
AGUGAACGCUGGCGGUAGGCCUAACACAUGCAAGUCGAACGGCAGCACAGUAAGAGCUUGCUCUUACGGGUGGCGAGUGGCGGACGGGUGAGGAAUACAUCGGAAUCUACUUUUUCGUGGGGGAUAACGUAGGGAAACUUACGCUAAUACCGCAUACUACCUACGGGUGAAAGCAGGGGAUCUUCGGACCUUGCGCGAUUGAAUGAGCCGAUGUCGGAUUAGCUAGUUGGCGGGGUAAAGGCCCACCAAGGCGACGAUCCGUAGCUGGUCUGAGAGGAUGAUCAGCCACACUGGAACUGAGACACGGUCCAGACUCCUACGGGAGGCGGCAGUGGGGAAUAUUGGACAAUGGGCGCAAGCCUGAUCCAGCCAUACCGCGUGGGUGAAGAAGGCCUGCGGGUUGUAAAGCCCUUUUGUUGGGAAAGAAAAGCAGCAGGUUAAUACCCCGCUGUUCUGACGGUACCCAAAGAAUAAGCACCGGCUAACUUCGU